CCACUUGCUUACGCGAGACGCGACACCAAUACGCCAUCCACUGAUCCACCUCGCCUUCUGCUUCCUUCAGCGGUUCCGCCCAUCGACUCGACAGAUCCUUGUUCACGACCUCACCCUAUUCAGAUCCCAAGCGGCCACGCCCAAGCCCAAACCCUACCCACCCAUCUCAAGUUCUCAACCAGCGAUGAUGGCAGCGGAGCCCUCGCCGUCGGUUCCCUCCACCGCCGCUGAAGACAUGGAAACCCUCGCCCUCGACUCAUCCUCGUCGUCCGCCGCCGCUACGGCCUCCGCCUCCGACCCCCUCCUUCGGCCACCUACCUCCCCGACCGCCGCCGCGAGCGACGACCCCUUCGUCAUCGACGACUUCCUCGACGAGGACGACUUCACCGCCCCGCCGCCCAGCGUCGCCGGCCCGCCGCCCGCCGUGCUUGGCGAUGCGGCGUCCCCAGUGUUCCCCAAGAUCACCGUAUCCGAUCCCAAGAAGCACGCCGAGCCUAGCGGCGGGGGUGCUGCCGGUGUGAUCCCAGGGUCCGGCAGCUACUUUUCUUACCUCAUCACCACACGUUUUGCGGGCGGCGGUGGGGAAGUCCGCGUGCGGCGGCGCUUCCGCGACGUGGUGGCCCUCGCGGACGGCCUUGCCGCAGCUCACCGCGGCCUAUUUGUCCCGGCCCGGCCCGACAAAAGCGUCCUCGAGGGGCAGGUCUUGCAACGCCACAACUUCGUGAGCCAGCGGUGCGCUGCGCUCCAGCGUUACCUCUGCCGCCUUGCCGCGCACCCCAUCGUCGGCCAGAGCCCUGGUCUCCGCACGUUCCUCACGGAGCCUGGUGCCAUCCCCGCCUUCCAGAGUGAGGCACCGCGGUACUGGACAACCACGGUGAAUGCUGCUGCUCCGAUGGUUCAGAUGAAAGCUGGGAGGGACUUGUUUGGGAUGUUUAAGGGUCUCAAGCAGACGAUGGUGAAUGGGAUGGUUGCAACAAAGCCUCCACCUGUGGAGCAGGAGACAGAUACAGAGUUCCUGGCGCACAAGGCCAGGUUCGAGGACUUACAACAGCAGCUUACCACAACAUCACAGCAGGCUGAAGCGCUCGUUAAAGCCCAAGAUGGUUAUAGAGAAACUACAGGUCACUUGGGAAUGACAUUGAUUAAGCUGGCAAAAUUUGAAAGAGAGCAGGCAACAUGUAACUCCCUAAGAAGACGGUCUGGUGAAAUCCAUAACUUUGCAAAUUCUGUUUUGAAGAUGAGCAGGUCACAGAUAAAAUUGAACUCUGAAAUUGUGAAACACCUGGGUAGUAUCCAUGAAUAUUUGGAGAUGAUGAUAUCAGUUCAUCAUGCAUUUACAGAUCGCUCUAAUGCUUUACAUUACGUGCAAAUUCUGUCAGCAGAUUUGUUUUCCUUGCAUAUCAGGGCAAGGAGACUUGAAUCGUCGUCAGCAAGAGAUAUGGGGCACGAGUGGUCAACAUAUCAGAAAGUAGAGGGGUUGAAAGAAACAAUAAGAUCAGCGGAAGCAGCCAAAAGUGAUGCAGUUAGAGAAUAUGAAAGUAUUAAGAUAUGGCAAAUUCAGCAUAAGGGCAGACCUAGUACCGGAGGCUCCAGAGGCUUGGGGUCUGGAGAAGGGAUAAAUUGAGGAAAACAACAAGAUUGAAAUAAAAAGAUUUGACAAGGAAAGACGCCACGAUUUCAUCGAGAUGCUGAAAGGUUUUGUGAUAACUCAGGUGUCUUAUUCAGACCAUUUUGCUAACAUGUGGACAAAGGUAACGGAGGAAACAGAAGUAUAUGCAAACAGGAGCAGCUGAUGUACGUAUAGGGAGUGUAGAAUAGUUGAUUUUGAUCUAUUUAAUUUGCUCCAACAUCCAACGACAACAAUCAUUCUUAUUCUUCCCCAGUUUUGUCACCUUGAGUUGGUUGUAAACUUGUAAUGCCACAUGAGUCAUGUGCAGUCGUGAAAUUGGGUCCCGGCAGAUGAGCUUCUGUGCUACCCGAGAACUGGCAUGUGUAUGUGAGAACCAUACGCAAACGUGGUUUAGGUUGAAAAAUAAUGGCGAUACUAGAAA
This is a non-coding RNA of Zea mays, 2051 nucleotides long. Lineage: Eukaryota; Viridiplantae; Streptophyta; Magnoliopsida; Poales; Poaceae. The record is from RefSeq and is a predicted model, not a curated record.